This 502-nucleotide ribosomal RNA is filed under the name uncultured bacterium. RNAcentral's name for it is "partial 16S ribosomal RNA". It matches the Rfam family "Bacterial small subunit ribosomal RNA", at positions 28 to 507 of the family's 1533-position model. The record is from RNAcentral.
GACGAACGCUGGCGGCGUGCCUAAUACAUGCAAGUCGAACGAACCGCGACUAAGUGCUUGCACUAAGUCAAGGUGAGUGGCGAACGGGUGAGUAACACGUGGGUAACCUACCUCAUAGUGGGGGAUAACAGUCGGAAACGACUGCUAAUACCGCAUAGGACAUAGGAUCACAUGAUCCAGUGAGGAAAGGUGGCGCAAGCUAUCGCUAAGAGAUGGACCCGCGGUGCAUUAGCUAGUUGGUAGGGUAAAGGCCUACCAAGGCGAUGAUGCAUAGCCGACCUGAGAGGGUGAUCGGCCACAUUGGGACUGAGACACGGCCCAAACUCCUACGGGAGGCAGCAGUAGGGAAUCUUCCGCAAUGGACGCAAGUCUGACGGAGCAACGCCGCGUGAGUGAAGAGGGUCUUCGGAUCGUAAAGCUCUGUUGUUAGAGAAGAACAGCGCAUAGAGUAACUGCUAUGCGUGUGACGGUAUCUAAACAGAAAGCCACGGCUAACUACGUG